This 864-nucleotide small RNA is filed under the name Tetrastigma sp. MR-2013. RNAcentral's name for it is "eukaryotic LSU rRNA". The stretch from base 401 to 556 matches the Rfam family "5.8S ribosomal RNA". The record is from RNAcentral. Lineage: Eukaryota; Viridiplantae; Streptophyta; Magnoliopsida; Vitales; Vitaceae.
UGAGCGGUCCGCCGCCUGCGACGUCGCGAGAAGUCCACUGAACCUUAUCAUUUAGAGGAAGGAGAAGUCGUAACAAGGUUUCCGUAGGUGAACCUGCGGAAGGAUCAUUGACCCGACCUAUCGACCGAACGACCCGUGAACACGUUGUUUAGCAUCCCCGCGGGGGCGGAGCGGGCGUGAGCCCUCCACUCCGUCCUCGACGGAUCGGUAGCCCUCGCGAGCCUCGCCCUCCGUACCGUGCCGGGCGCACUACGUGGGGGGGGCGGCCUGCGGGGGACCUCACCGAUCCAACAACGAACCCCGGCGCGGAAAGCGCCAAGGAAAACGCAACGAAACGACGCCCUCCCGUCGGCCCGCUCGCGGGUGCGCGGGAAGGCGUGGUCGUUUAACUCAUAAAAACGACUCUCGGCAACGGAUAUYUAGGCUCUCGCAUCGAUGAAGAACGUAGCAAAAUGCGAUACUUGGUGUGAAUUGCAGAAUCCCGUGAAUCAUCGAGUCUUUGAACGCAAGUUGCGCCCGACGCCAUUAGGUCGAGGGCACGCCUGCCUGGGCGUCACGCACCCAUCGCCCCUCCACCCCUCCCAAGCGAAAGCGAGGGACUCGGGGCCGGGGCGGACACUGUCCUCCCAUGGAGCAUCGCGUCCGUGGUUGGUYUAAAAUCGGUCCCGSGGSGACGCMCGCCMCGACAAGCGGUGGUUUUGAAACGAACCCCUCUCCCUUCCCCUCGCCCAGAGGGGGAGCCCCACGUCGGGCGCGGCGCUUCGCCUAACGGGGCCCUACGAAAGGCCCGAGAACCUCGAUCGCGACCCCAGGUCAGGCGGGAACACCCGCUGAGUUUAAGCAUAUCAAUAAGCGGAGGAAAAG